This 750-nucleotide ribosomal RNA is filed under the name uncultured bacterium. RNAcentral's name for it is "bacterial SSU rRNA". It matches the Rfam family "Bacterial small subunit ribosomal RNA", at positions 41 to 753 of the family's 1533-position model. The record is from RNAcentral.
GGGGAAGCUAAUACUGCAGUCGAGCGAGCUUGCCUAGAUGAUUUUAGUGCUUGCACUAAAUGAAACUAGAUACAAGCGAGCGGCGGACGGGUGAGUAACACGUGGGUAACCUGCCCAAGAGACUGGGAUAACACCUGGAAACAGAUGCUAAUACCGGAUAACAACACUAGACGCAUGUCUAGAGUUUGAAAGAUGGUUCUGCUAUCACUCUUGGAUGGACCUGCGGUGCGUUAGCUAGUUGGUAAGGUAACGGCUUACCAAGGCAAUGAUGCAUAGCCGAGUUGAGAGACUGAUCGGCCACAUUGGGACUGAGACACGGCCCAAACUCCUACGGGAGGCAGCAGUAGGGAAUCUUCCACAAUGGACGAAAGUCUGAUGGAGCAACGCCGCGUGAGUGAAGAAGGGUUUCGGCUCGUAAAGCUCUGUUGGUAGUGAAGAAAGAUAGAGGUAGUAACUGGCCUUUAUUUGACGGUAAUUACUUAGAAAGUCACGGCUAACUACGUGCCAGCAGCCGCGGUAAUACGUAGGUGGCAAGCGUUGUCCGGAUUUAUUGGGCGUAAAGCGAGUGCAGGCGGUUCAAUAAGUCUGAUGUGAAAGCCUUCGGCUCAACCGGAGAAUUGCAUCAGAAACUGUUGAACUUGAGUGCAGAAGAGGAGAGUGGAACUCCAUGUGUAGCGGUGGAAUGCGUAGAUAUAUGGAAGAACACCAGUGGCGAAGGCGGCUCUCUGGUCUGCAACUGACGCUGAGGCU